CCCUGGGGCGGGGCUGUGUCCCCCCUAUAAAGCCCAGGAAGCCGCAGUACCCAGGCCAGCCAGCCUUCACCUCCAGCUCUGCACACCCAGCCUUACAGGUCCCAGCAGGAUGUCGGACACCGAGGAGCAGGACUAUGAGGAGGAGCAGGCUGAAGGUGAGUGGAUGGGGCAGCCUGGGCAGGAGGUCGCCCUGGCAUCUGACACCGGGCUUGGGCGGAGAGGACACUGGGUCUGGAGUCGGCCCCUGGUCCCGCCCCCGGGGACCCCCAUCUACACCCGGGCCUCCCCACCUCGCCUGGCCCCGCCCUUGGACUCCGCCC
Molecule: long non-coding RNA, 320 nt
Filed under: Heterocephalus glaber (naked mole-rat)
Lineage: Eukaryota; Metazoa; Chordata; Mammalia; Rodentia; Bathyergidae
Description: lncRNA (ENSHGLG00000034081.1)
Source: RNAcentral